RNAcentral lists this long non-coding RNA (964 nucleotides) under Salvia miltiorrhiza (redroot sage). RNAcentral describes it as "long non-coding RNA (SMIL_LNC005374)". The record is from RNAcentral. Lineage: Eukaryota; Viridiplantae; Streptophyta; Magnoliopsida; Lamiales; Lamiaceae.
GUCACACCCCAAUUCUUGAAGGAAUAAAUAUAAUCGAGGUGUGAAUAAUUUAUAGAAAUAAACAAGGGAAAAACCUUGUUAAAACCGAAUAAUAAAAUAUCCAGUCGAGCUAUGCCCCUUUGGAUCACAAGUUUUGUUUCAUGCUUCUGACAACCAACAUUCAUUAGCAUAAAUUUAGUAGUGAAGAGUCUAAGCUCGGUCAGGUAUAUCAUUUGAAAUUUGACAUGGAGAUCUUAAUUUGAGGAAACAAAAGACGUAUAUGAGUAGUUGCUACAGCGGAAGUCUAACAUAGGAAUUUAACUCUAGCCUCAGCUCCGUCCCGUCAGCACCGGCCAGCCAACCUGAAAACAUUUGAAAGUAUUUUUGGGCUAAGUACUAAUGUACUUAGUGGGCAUGCAUUUUCUGAAACAUCUCAUAUUUUAAUAAAGACAGUUUAUCCAAUCAUACUUGACAUGACUUAGAAGGUUUUAAAUUGAAAGAACUUCUAAGCAUGUUAAAAUAAUUUCUUUCAUUUGUGCGCACAUGUCACACUCCCUUUCUGUUACUCGCUGUGAUCCCGGACCUUUUAGCCACCGACGGAUCCAUUCUCCUUUUUACUUGCCCUGAGGGCGUAACUCAGUCAAGUUCCCAUUUGGGGCCCAAUGCUCCGGAACACAUCCCGUCGAGCACCCUUAUAACUCAUUCUGAAGGAUUAAUAGCCCCACGGGAUCGUUUCUUGGAUAUCUUAAUUUACCAUACAACGAUUAAUCCUAACAUGCUCCUAAGAGAACCUCGAUCGAUCCAUGAAUUGCGAGCCUUAAACAGAGCAGAGUGCACAAAAACAUUUAUUGGAUAAACAGUUUUCAUUUCAUGAAAUAUUUAGAGCUUAAUAACUCAAUCAUACAUUUGGAAAGUAAGCCCACCUGGAUAGGCAAAGCCUGAAGAUCAUAAUCACAUAAACUCAUCUUGGGAAAGCAGUGCUAAU